RNAcentral lists this long non-coding RNA (1186 nucleotides) under Calidris pugnax (ruff). RNAcentral describes it as "lncRNA (ENSCPUG00000007158.1)". The record is from RNAcentral. Lineage: Eukaryota; Metazoa; Chordata; Aves; Charadriiformes; Scolopacidae.
AUGAUAAUUAAACAAUUAAUAUUGGGGAAAAGAAUUAAAAAAAAAAAAAAAAAAAAAGCAAGCCAAAAACCCCAAACCAAACCUCAACCAAAAAAACACAAACCCCAAACCAGCAACAUGGAAACAGGCCUGACUGUGGGGAUCUGUGUGAUGCUUGAUAAGAAUGUAGAUAAAACUAGCAAGUGAGAAAACACAGUUGCCCUGCUACUUAGCAUUUCAUAUAUUAUAGGCUUCUAUACCCUGCAGAUGAUUUACGAGUGUGGCAAGACUCAACUCUGAAAGGGAAAGCAGUCUUUCUGGUGGGUGCAGAGAUGAGGUGGCGAGCUGGGCAGGCAGCUCUGAACGGGAGAGCAAGCUGGAAGCUGAGUCACAGCAAGGCAGGCAGGGGCAGUGGCCUGGCCAACAGAGUCCCACAGUACCCAGGCUAGAAGGUCUGAGCAGGGCAGGAUGAGGAUUUAGAUCAGCAGGGCAGAUGCCCAGGCAUAGCUGUGCUAGCUAAAGGUGGGGAUCAAGGUGAUAUAAGGUGAUCAAGGUGAGAUAAGCUCGCAGGCAAAUCUUGCUGAGUUAAGGUGGGGAUCAAGGGUGAGAACCUUAGCUGAGAUAAGCUCGCAGGCAAAUCUUGCUGAGGUUUCUCAAAGCCAGACAACCUCUAUUUGUUUAACCUGUAACCUGCAGCCAAUCUCCCAGAAGAUGGAUAAUAUACGCAGGGCCCUGACAUUCUUCUUCCAGCCUGCUCAGAGCCAUCUCGUCUUGCACAGUCAUGCUUUCUUGGUGUUCCUUCACCAGACAGCAAAGCUCUACCUAUGGUUGUGUUGAAGUCUUGUGGCCUGGAUAAAGAUGUGAAGUCUUAACCUUUUAAGUGAGCUGAAAGAAUGAGACCAGUAAAUUCUGGUGUCACUGUCAAAUAUUCUAGCAUCUGUGGUGGCAAAAAAAUCUACAUUUUUUUCAGAUCUAGGCUCAAAAUUUUGGUGAAUAGGGUGGAUACGUUUCACAGGUCCUGGCCAGGCAGAAGGUGAAGGAUCUUGUCCAUAAGUUAUAGUGAAGCUUCUCUGACUUUUUGGUAGGUACUUGCAGCAAAAAGGGUUGAAUAGCCGAAGAGGGUAUUUCUUGAAUGGGAGGAUUUUCAGGUGAGGUGUACGUAAGGGAGGUGCUGGGGUAUAUUCUUUGAGCAUAGAAGACUGGGAAA